Molecule: ribosomal RNA, 253 nt
Filed under: uncultured bacterium
Lineage: Bacteria
Description: partial 16S ribosomal RNA
Rfam family: Bacterial small subunit ribosomal RNA
Source: RNAcentral
UACGGGGGGGGUAAGCGUUGCUCGGAAUCAUUGGGCGUAAAGCGCACGUAGGCGGACCGCUAAGUCGGAUGUGAAAGCCCUCGGCUUAACCGAGGAAGUGCAUUCGAAACUGACAGUCUUGAGUAUGGAAGAGGGUCGCGGAAUUCCCGGUGUAGAGGUGAAAUUCGUAGAUAUCGGGAGGAACACCAGUGGCGAAGGCGGCGACCUGGGCCAAUACUGACGCUGAGGUGCGAAAGCGUGGGGAGCAAACAGG